Molecule: small RNA, 2407 nt
Filed under: Pan troglodytes (chimpanzee)
Lineage: Eukaryota; Metazoa; Chordata; Mammalia; Primates; Hominidae
Description: retained intron
Source: RNAcentral
CAGAAGUCAUGUCUGCUGUUUGUCUUGGGAUGGAGCUGCCAGGGACAUGGCCCCUCCCACCACAAGUGGCCAAGGGCAUGUUGUGGUCGGGAAGCUUCACCGGUCGACCCCGGCCACCUCACCUCUGCCUGCCACUCGGGGUCCUGGGCCCUGCUGCCCGCCGAGUGCAGCUGCAACGCCCCUUUUGCCUAAAGCAGCAGGCCCUGCCGACAGGGACCUGAGCAUCUUUUUCUUCCUUCCUUGGCCUCUGAGGUCCUGAGAGGGAGCUCCCCAACUCUCCCGCCCCAGUCAGCGGUCACAGGGGAGUCUCUGGGCCCACAGCAGGGCUGGCCUGGUAGCUGAGACCCUGGUGGCUCCUGGCCACGCUCAGGAAGGCCCGUGUGGUCAGGGCUGCAUUUGAGCCAGACCCACACUGGGGAUCUGCCGAGGGCUGGGUGCUGAUGUCCCCGCCCCGCGCCCCCCGUCGAUGUCUCUUGCCAGGCGCGACUCUUCGAUGAGCCACAGCUGGCCAGCCUGUGCCUGGAGAACAUCGACAAAAACACUGCAGACGCCAUCACCGCGGAGGGCUUCACCGACAUUGACCUGGACACGCUGGUGGCUGUCCUGGAGCGUGACACACUGGGCAUCCGUGAGGUGCGGCUGUUCAACGCCGUUGUCCGCUGGUCCGAGGCCGAGUGUCAGCGGCAGCAGCUGCAGGUGACGCCGGAGAACAGGCGGAAGGUUCUGGGCAAGGCCCUGGGCCUCAUUCGCUUCCCGCUCAUGACCAUCGAGGAGUUCGCCGCAGGCCCCGCACAGUCGGGCAUCCUGGUGGACCGCGAGGUGGUCAGCCUCUUCCUGCACUUCACCGUCAACCCCAAGCCACGAGUGGAGUUCAUUGACCGGCCCCGCUGCUGCCUGCGUGGGAAGGAGUGCAGCAUCAACCGCUUCCAGCAGGUGGAGAGUCGCUGGGGCUACAGCGGGACCAGUGACCGCAUCAGGUUCUCAGUCAACAAGCGCAUCUUCGUGGUGGGAUUUGGGCUGUAUGGAUCCAUCCACGGGCCCACCGACUACCAAGUGAACAUCCAGAUUAUUCACACCGACAGCAACACCGUCUUGGGCCAGAACGACACGGGCUUCAGCUGUGACGGCUCAGCCAGCACCUUCCGCGUCAUGUUCAAGGAGCCGGUGGAGGUGCUGCCCAACGUCAACUACACGGCCUGCGCCACGCUCAAGGGCCCAGACUCCCACUACGGCACCAAAGGCCUCCGCAAGGUGACACACGAGUCGCCCACCACGGGCGCCAAGACCUGCUUCACCUUUUGCUACGCGGCCGGGAACAACAACGGCACAUCCGUGGAGGACGGCCAGAUCCCCGAGGUCAUCUUCUACACCUAGGCUGCCCGACACCGACACUGCCCUCCCUCCGUGGGGACAGCCGCAGCCCCAGGCCAUCAUCCGCUGCUGGGGCCCCCCCACCACGCGGUGCCAGGCCCAGUGUCCCCCGGGCCACCUGUCCACUCCACGCCAUCUUUCUCAGCAUCAGGAAGGGGUUGCCCUGUGUUCACCACGAGUGCGGCUGCUGGAUCAGGGCAGCCGGGGAGGUGGCCGGGCCAGUGGCCAGGCCCUGUGGAGACGAUCCCUCAGGACUAGGGACAGGGCUGUGCCGGCCUGGGCCAGGGCCCACGGACCCGCAGCUCAGGGCGCCUGCCCACGUCGUCUGCCGGCGGUGCGUGGCGGGCGUCCCUCGCGUCUCUUCACUGCACAUUGCAAUGCAUUUGCGAUUCCCAUUUCUCUGCUAGGAGCCAGCCUGGGUGGCGCCGCUCCCAGAGCCGUGGGUCCCAGACCUUGCGUUCCUUUUGUUCCUGUCCGUUUAUCAGGACACGGGCCCCACCUGUCACGUGCCCGAGGCCACCCAAGCCCAGCUGCCUGGAUGCCAGCUUGAGUUCUGCGCACGUCGGAUUCAGUGUGGGGACGGCCCCUGCCGGAUAGGCCUAGCCCUGGCCCAGGUGGUGAGCGGUUUGCAGUGUCCGUUCUCAUCCACCUGAUGGGCCCAGAUAAAGGCCCCCGCUGUCCAGCCUCCCUGGACGGCCCUCGCGGUCCCUGCAGCCCAAGAUGGGACUCAGACCCUGUGCCCCAGAGCUCCCCUGCCGCAGAAUGGGGCCCCAGCCGGCCCCGACCGGGUCCAGGAGCACUGCUCGCCUGUACAUACUGUUGCCCUAGCCCACCUGGUGCCGCGCGAGCCACCCCCAGGUGCUGGGGGCACAGCCCCUCCCCACCCCGGCCACGCCCCCACCCACCCCGUGUGUUUCUGCCCUGUGACUCCUGGAACCUGCGUCCUCCCCAAAGCCAUGGGAGGGGUGUCCUCCUCAGACCAUGCCCCCAGAUAAUUUUUUUAAAUAAAGAAACAAAGGCACCUGCCUUGAGCGCA